This 1322-nucleotide ribosomal RNA is filed under the name uncultured bacterium. RNAcentral describes it as "partial 16S ribosomal RNA". It matches the Rfam family "Bacterial small subunit ribosomal RNA", at positions 89 to 1399 of the family's 1533-position model. The record is from RNAcentral.
GAGGGAGUGGCGGACGGGUGAGUAACACGUGGGUAACCUACCCAUCAGAGGGGGAUAACACUUGGAAACAGGUGCUAAUACCGCAUAACAGUUUAUGCCGCAUGGCAUAAGAGUGAAAGGCGCUUUCGGGUGUCGCUGAUGGAUGGACCCGCGGUGCAUUAGCUAGUUGGUGAGGUAACGGCUCACCAAGGCCACGAUGCAUAGCCGACCUGAGAGGGUGAUCGGCCACACUGGGACUGAGACACGGCCCAGACUCCUACGGGAGGCAGCAGUAGGGAAUCUUCCACAAUGGACGAAAGUCUGAUGGAGCAACGCCGCGUGAGUGAAGAAGGUUUUCAGAUCGUAAAACUCUGUUGUUGGAGAAGAAUGUAUCUGAUAGUAACUGAUCAGGUAGUGACGGUAUCCAACCAGAAAGCCACGGCUAACUACGUGCCAGCAGCCGCGGUAAUACGUAGGUGGCAAGCGUUGUCCGGAUUUAUUGGGCGUAAAGCGAGCGCAGGCGGUUUCUUAAGUCUGAUGUGAAAGCCUUCGGCUCAACCGAAGAAGUGCAUCGGAAACUGGGAAACUUGAGUGCAGAAGAGGACAGUGGAACUCCAUGUGUAGCGGUGAAAUGCGUAGAUAUAUGGAAGAACACCAGUGGCGAAGGCGGCUGUCUGGUCUGUAACUGACGCUGAGGCUCGAAAGCAUGGGUAGCAAACAGGAUUAGAUACCCUGGUAGUCCAUGCCGUAAACGAUGAGUGCUAGGUGUCGGAGGGUUUCCGCCCUUCAGUGCCGCAGCUAACGCAUUAAGCACUCCGCCUGGGGAGUACGACCGCAAGGUUGAAACUCAAAGGAAUUGACGGGGGCCCGCACAAGCGGUGGAGCAUGUGGUUUAAUUCGAAGCAACGCGAAGAACCUUACCUACACUUGACAUCCCUUGCAUUACUCUUAAUCGAGGAAAUCCCUUCGGGGACAAGGUGACAGGUGGUGCAUGGUUGUCGCCAGCUCGUGUCGUGAGAUGUUGGGUUAAGUCCCGCAACGAGCGCAACCCUUGUCGUUAGUUACUACCAUUAAGUUGAGGACUCUAGCGAGACUGCCUGGGUUAACCAGGAGGAAGGUGGGGAUGACGUCAAAUCAUCAUGCCCCUUAUGUGUAGGGCUACACACGUGCUACAAUGGCUGGUACAGAGAGAUGCAAUACCGCGAGGUGGAGCCAAACUUAAAAACCAGUCUCAGUUCGGAUUGUAGGCUGAAACUCGCCUACAUGAAGCUGGAGUUACUAGUAAUCGCGAAUCAGAAUGUCGCGGUGAAUACGUUCCCGGGUCUUGCACUCACCGCCCGUCA